This 129-nucleotide ribosomal RNA is filed under the name Halobellus sp. H-GB7. RNAcentral's name for it is "partial 23S ribosomal RNA". It matches the Rfam family "Archaeal large subunit ribosomal RNA", at positions 1 to 129 of the family's 2987-position model. Lineage: Archaea; Methanobacteriati; Methanobacteriota; Halobacteria; Halobacteriales; Haloferacaceae. The record is from RNAcentral.
UCAAACUGGCUACUGUACUGGCUGGUGAAUGGCUCGGCUCGAGAGCCGACGACGGACGUGCCAAGCUGCGAAAAGCCCGAGGGAGUCGCACGGAGACUAAGAACUCGGGAUCUCCGAAUGGGAAUCCCC